RNAcentral lists this ribosomal RNA (253 nucleotides) under uncultured bacterium. RNAcentral describes it as "partial 16S ribosomal RNA". It matches the Rfam family "Bacterial small subunit ribosomal RNA", at positions 524 to 776 of the family's 1533-position model. The record is from RNAcentral.
UACGGGGGGGGCAAGCGUUGUUCGGAAUUACUGGGCGUAAAGGGCUCGUAGGCGGCCAACUAAGUCAGACGUGAAAUCCCUAAGCUCAACCUAGGAACUGCGUCUGAUACUGGAUGGCUUGAAUCCGGGAGAGGGAUGCAGAAUUCCAGGUGUAGCGGUGAAAUGCGUAGAUAUCUGGAGGAAUACCGGUGGCGAAGGCGGCAUCCUGGACCGGCAUUGACGCUGAGGAGCGAAAGCGUGGGGAGCAAACAGG